Molecule: ribosomal RNA, 253 nt
Filed under: uncultured bacterium
Lineage: Bacteria
Description: partial 16S ribosomal RNA
Rfam family: Bacterial small subunit ribosomal RNA
Source: RNAcentral
UACGGAGGGUGCGAGCGUUACCCGGAUUUACUGGGUGUAAAGGGCGCGUAGGCGGUUAUUCAAGUCCGAUGCUAAAGACCGAAGCUCAACUUCGGGAGUGCGUUGGAUACUGGAUGGCUAGACGAUCGGAGAGGGUAGCGGAAUGGUCAGAGUAGCGGUGAAAUGCGCAGAUACUGAUCGGAACGCCAAUAGCGAAAGCAGCUACUUGGACGAUAAGUGACGCUGAGGCGCGAAAGCGUGGGGAGCAAACCGG